UGCCAUUUUAAACCGCGAAAUAGGGGAAAUAGGAGAAUGAAGGGACGUCCAAUAAGAAGAUGGGCCUAAAAUCAGCGCAGGUGACGUUAAAAGAUGUUCGUCUGGCGCGGGAAAUGCAAUUUCUAGUGCAUUGAAGAUUUAUUAUGAUUUAUUGGAGGAAGACCAUACUGGUAAAUAAGAUGACCAAGCUCUGAGACCCGGAUCGCCUUUUGCAACCAUAUCAAGCUUUUUGGCUUCUUCUGGACUCAAUUUUAGAAUUGUGUUCAGCACUGGGACUAAUCUACUCCUUUCAUCUCCAUUGUGCAGAGUCACAAACUUGAAAUUGAAAAAUAAAUUUCAGAAGUUGGAUUUGCUUCUCCGAUAAUAUCAAUAAUAAAAUGAUAUAACUUAUUUAUUAAAUGGUGCCCUUUUCA
Long non-coding RNA from Harmonia axyridis, 413 nucleotides. RefSeq lists it as uncharacterized. The transcript is spliced from 2 exons. The record is from RefSeq and is a predicted model, not a curated record. Lineage: Eukaryota; Metazoa; Arthropoda; Insecta; Coleoptera; Coccinellidae.